GAUGAACGCUAGCGGCAGGCUUAAUACAUGCAAGUCGUGGGGCAGCAUGAAGUAGCAAUACUUUGAUGGCGACCGGCAAACGGGUGCGGAACACGUACACAACCUUCCUUUUAGUGGGGAAUAGCCCAGAGAAAUUUGGAUUAAUACCCCGUAACAUAGCGAUGAGGCAUCUCAUUGCUAUUAUAGCUUCGGCGCUAGAUGAUGGGUGUGCGUAUGAUUAGAUAGUUGGCGAGGUAACGGCUCACCAAGUCUACGAUCAUUAGCUGAUGUGAGAGCAUGAUCAGCCACACGGGCACUGAGACACGGGCCCGACUCCUACGGGAGGCAGCAGUAAGGAAUAUUGGUCAAUGGACGAAAGUCUGAACCAGCCAUGCCGCGUGAAGGAUUAAGGUCCUCUGGAUUGUAAACUUCUUUUAUAUGGGACGAAAAAAGGUCUUUCUAGAUCACUUGACGGUACCAUAUGAAUAAGCACCGGCUAACUCCGUG
RNAcentral lists this ribosomal RNA (486 nucleotides) under uncultured bacterium. RNAcentral describes it as "bacterial SSU rRNA". It matches the Rfam family "Bacterial small subunit ribosomal RNA", at positions 28 to 507 of the family's 1533-position model. The record is from RNAcentral.